AACGCAGCGAAGGGCGAUAAGUAAUGUGAAUUGCAGAUUUUCAGUGAAUCAUCGAAUCUUUGAACGCACCUUGCGCCCCUUGGUAUUCCGAGGGGCAUGCCUGUUUGAGUGUCAUUAAAUUCUCAACUCCGAUUUGAUUUGUUUCUUAUCGGAGCUUGGACUUUGGAGCGUGCUGGCGUAAGGUCGGCUCCUCUUAAAUGUAUCAGCGGAAUCUAACCUUUGGAUUCUGGACAUCGGUGUGAUAAUAAAAGUUGCGCCGUCGUUCUACUUCAAAGUCCGCUUACAAUGGUCUUUUUGACAAACUCUUAUCAAAUUUGACCUCAAAUCAGGUAGGACUACCCGCUGAACUUAA
RNAcentral lists this ribosomal RNA (352 nucleotides) under uncultured fungus. RNAcentral's name for it is "eukaryotic LSU rRNA". The stretch from base 1 to 114 matches the Rfam family "5.8S ribosomal RNA", at positions 42 to 154 of the family's 154-position model. Lineage: Eukaryota; Fungi. The record is from RNAcentral.